GGGUGAGUAACACGUGGGAACGUGCCCUUUGGUUCGGAACAACUCAGGGAAACUUGAGCUAAUACCGGAUGUGCCCUUCGGGGGAAAGAUUUAUCGCCAUUGGAGCGGCCCGCGUCUGAUUAGCUAGUUGGUGAGGUAAAGGCUCACCAAGGCGACGAUCAGUAGCUGGUCUGAGAGGAUGAUCAGCCACAUUGGGACUGAGACACGGCCCAAACUCCUACGGGAGGCAGCAGUGGGGAAUCUUGCGCAAUGGGCGAAAGCCUGACGCAGCCAUGCCGCGUGAAUGAUGAAGGUCUUAGGAUUGUAAAAUUCUUUCACCGGGGACGAUAAUGACGGUACCCGGAGAAGAAGCCCCGGCUAACUUCGUGCCAGCAGCCGCGGUAAUACGAAGGGGGCUAGCGUUGCUCGGAAUUACUGGGCGUAAAGGGAGCGUAGGCGGACUGUUAAGUUAGAGGUGAAAGCCCAGGGCUCAACCUUGGAAUUGCCUUUGAUACUGGCAGUCUUGAGUACGGAAGAGGUAUGUGGAACUCCGAGU
Molecule: ribosomal RNA, 535 nt
Filed under: Caulobacter sp.
Lineage: Bacteria; Pseudomonadati; Pseudomonadota; Alphaproteobacteria; Caulobacterales; Caulobacteraceae
Description: bacterial SSU rRNA
Rfam family: Bacterial small subunit ribosomal RNA
Source: RNAcentral